This 29-nucleotide small RNA is filed under the name Bombyx mori (domestic silkworm). RNAcentral describes it as "ovarian small RNA-3195". Lineage: Eukaryota; Metazoa; Arthropoda; Insecta; Lepidoptera; Bombycidae. The record is from RNAcentral.
UCAAGUAUGGAAACAGCCUUAUGUAAAGU